RNAcentral lists this non-coding RNA (30 nucleotides) under Mus musculus (house mouse). The record is from RNAcentral. Lineage: Eukaryota; Metazoa; Chordata; Mammalia; Rodentia; Muridae.
UGUAGCGUCAUUGUACUUCCUGGUGCUCCC